GAUGAACGCUAGCUACAGGCUUAACACAUGCAAGUCGAGGGGAAACGGCAUUAAGUGCUUGCACUUUUUGGACGUCGACCGGCGCACGGGUGAGUAACGCGUAUCCAACCUUCCCAUGACUAAGGGAUAACCUGCCGAAAGGCAGACUAAUACCUUAUGGUCUUCACUGACGGCAUCAGAUGUGAAGUAAAGAUUUAUCGGUUAUGGAUGGGGAUGCGUCUGAUUAGCUUGUUGGCGGGGUAACGGCCCACCAAGGCAACGAUCAGUAGGGGUUCUGAGAGGGAGGUCCCCCACAUUGGAACUGAGACACGGGCCAAACUCCUACGGGAAGCAGCAGUGAGGAAUAUUGGUCAAUGGGCGAGAGCCUGAACCAGCCAAGUAGCGUGCAGGAGGACGGCCCUAUGGGUUGUAAACUGCUUUUGUAUGGGGAUAAAGUCAAUCACGUGUGAUUGUUUGCAGGUACCAGAAGAAUAAGGACCGGCUAAUUCCGUG
Molecule: ribosomal RNA, 492 nt
Filed under: uncultured bacterium
Lineage: Bacteria
Description: partial 16S ribosomal RNA
Rfam family: Bacterial small subunit ribosomal RNA
Source: RNAcentral